AAAAAAAAAAAAAAAAAACUCAGGACUACAGGGAAAAAACAGCUCCUUCGUGUUUCUUGCUGCUCAAUGUCUAUUUUUGGGGUUUUCCAUCAGUGUUCAGCAAAAAUAGGUUGCAGCCGUGUAGCUGGCACCCCCACCCAAAACAGCACCGAAUGGACAAACAUGCUUCAGCAAUCAGACGGAAAGAGAAAUCUUAGUGUAAUAUAAUAUG
Molecule: non-coding RNA, 211 nt
Filed under: Heterosigma akashiwo
Lineage: Eukaryota; Raphidophyceae; Chattonellales; Chattonellaceae
Source: RNAcentral